GCCAUCUGUAGUGGAGAUGCUGAGUCACAGCCUGAAGCAGUGAUUGAGCACCUGGUGGGAAGGCAGGGCCAACCCAGGGUAGCUCAGGUGUAUGCAAUGAACCUGAGUGACCUGAAGGGAUGGAGCCAGGAUCCACCCCUUCCCAGACCUCAUUUAAGGGUUGGCAGUGGAGAUGAGAGCAUCUCAUGCUGGAGAUCCCUGCCUAUCUGUGGUCUUCUGAAGGGUUUGAUGGUUGGAAAGCAAUCUGGGAUCAGCAGAUGUCAGCAGCAUGGGGAAAAAUGCGACCAUGCAAAUGAAUGGUUGGCAGUCCUCGGUGAGUGCCAAGCCCAGCUGUGUGCCAGGAGGGAAGGCAGCCAUCCCGCACUGAAAGCAUUUCAAAGAGAGGACGGAGAUGGUGCCAGGAGAGGCAGCCACAUGGAGAGAGCAACCGUGUAGGUUUCGGUGGUUCAUCCAGCUCUCAAGCCCUGGCUUCUAUGGUCAUACCCAUAAGAUCUGAAGACCUAGGGCAAGGCAUUACUGCUGCCAGCUUUAACUCAAAAGGAGUGAGAGGAG
This 552-nucleotide long non-coding RNA is filed under the name Gallus gallus (chicken). Its description in RNAcentral is "lncRNA (ENSGALG00010014751.1)". The record is from RNAcentral. Lineage: Eukaryota; Metazoa; Chordata; Aves; Galliformes; Phasianidae.